Molecule: ribosomal RNA, 468 nt
Filed under: uncultured bacterium
Lineage: Bacteria
Description: partial 16S ribosomal RNA
Rfam family: Bacterial small subunit ribosomal RNA
Source: RNAcentral
GACGAACGCUGGCGGCGUGCUUAACACAUGCAAGUCGAACGGAAAGGCCCUGCUUUUGUGGGGUGCUCGAGUGGCGAACGGGUGAGUAACACGUGAGUAACCUGCCCUUGACUUUGGGAUAACUUCAGGAAACUGGGGCUAAUACCGGAUAGGAGCUCCUGCUGCAUGUUGGGGGUUGGAAAGUUUCGGCGGUUGGGGAUGGACUCGCGGCUUAUCAGCUUGUUGGUGGGGUAGUGGCUUACCAAGGCUUUGACGGGUAGCCGGCCUGAGAGGGUGACCGGCGACAUUGGGACUGAGAUACGGCCGAGACUCCUACGGGAGGCAGCAGUGGGGAAUAUUGCACAAUGGGCGGAAGCCUGAUGCAGCAACGCCGCGUGCGGGAUGACGGCCUUCGGGUUGUAAACCGCUUUCGCCUGUGACGAAGCGUGAGUGACGGUAAUGGGUAAAGAAGCACCGGCUAACUACGUG